GAAAGCUACGUGAUACGGAAACGGUCAUGCGUAGUUUGGAGGGGGGUGGUUAGAAAAGUGCCAAUAAUGGUAACUCGCUGGCUACCUACCCUAC
Non-coding RNA from Scytonema tolypothrichoides VB-61278, 94 nucleotides. The record is from Rfam. Lineage: Bacteria; Bacillati; Cyanobacteriota; Cyanophyceae; Nostocales; Scytonemataceae.